RNAcentral lists this ribosomal RNA (381 nucleotides) under uncultured bacterium. Its description in RNAcentral is "bacterial SSU rRNA". It matches the Rfam family "Bacterial small subunit ribosomal RNA", at positions 99 to 507 of the family's 1533-position model. The record is from RNAcentral.
CGGACGGGUGAGUAACGCGUAGGAACCUGACCAAGCAGGUGGGGGAAUAACAGCUGGAAACGGCUGCUAAUACCGCAUACNCCCGUUCGGGGGAAAGAUUUUAUCGCUGUUUGAGGGUCCUGCGUUCGAUUAGCUAGUUGGUGAGGUAACGGCCCACCAAGGCGACGAUCGAUAGCUGGUCUGAGAGGAUGAUCAGCCACACGUGGGACUGAGACACCGGCCCAGACUCCGUACGGGGAGGCAGCAGGUGGGAAUAUUGGACAUGGGGGAAACCCUGAUCCAGCAAUGCCGCGUGCGUGAAGAAGGCCUUAGGGUUGUAAAGCGCUUUCACCUGUGAUGAUGAUGACAGUAGCAGGAGAAGAAGCCCCGGCUAACUCCGUG